GCAUUGCUGAGGAGCCCCACCAUAGGACGAAAUGGCCGUCCAGUGC
This 46-nucleotide non-coding RNA is filed under the name Schistosoma mansoni. The record is from RNAcentral. Lineage: Eukaryota; Metazoa; Platyhelminthes; Trematoda; Strigeidida; Schistosomatidae.